GGGGGACCUCCUUCCCCCACCUUCGCCCCGCCCCAUCCCUCCUGGAGGGUGCCCCAGUGACUUUGGGGAGCCCGGGGCUACUUCUGGUUUUUGGGGUGAGGGUCGGAGAGGGGCACGUGCCCUGAGCCUCCCCUGCCCUCGCAAAAUAGGAGGGGAGCAGAACUCCCACUGCUCGGCCCCUCCCACCUACCCCUCCUUCCCCCUGGCGUCCUCAGACUCAGAGGAGGGAGAGAGCCCUCCCCUCCGGGACCAUGUUUUCCAUUAACUGAGCUUGGGGGAGGGGGCGCUACAGCUCCCAGGCUCUCACCGGGGAGGGAUCGUUCUUGGGGGACCCCGCAGAGUUAACCCUCUCCUACCCGGGCAUGAGCCUGGCUACCCCCGAGGCAGCUCCCCCCUGGCAGGAGAAUGAAGGACGUGGGAGUCAUGGAAGAAGCCAUGCUAACCCUGCAGCACUCCCAAGACACUGGCAUGCAGCCCACAAGCCCCCGAUGGUGUCGCUGACCCCGUCUAACAAGCCUGAAGAUGCCGUGCAGGCUUCUUGGCAGUGGAAGGUGCUUUCUCUGAGGCUGUCAAAGACUCCUAUCUCUCUCCUUGGAAAAACCUUCCUAAGAUACAGAAUCACAGAACUUCAGAGCUGGAAGGGACCUCUGAAGCCAUCCAGUUCCCCCCUACCUGAACAGGAAGCCCCUCAAAGGCCAGUGGAUGUGACAAUUCAGCCACUGAUUGGUGAAACUUCCCAAGGCAGCCUAUACUCUUUUGCCAUAGCCAUAUAGUACAUCACCUUACAUUUUCCUCUCACUUUCUUGUACUCUCUGUUGUUUAUUCUGUCCUGUGGGGCCACACAGAUGUCUACUCCUUUGUUCCACACGCCUGCCUUUUAGAUACCGGAAGACAGUGACUAUGUUUCCCUAAGUCGGCUUUCUUCUAGGCUACAAAUCUCCCUUUCCCUCCUUUUCCUCACGCUCUUUGUGUCCUCUCACCAUCUUGGUUAUUUGAUUCAUCUUGUCAAUGACCUUCCCUAAAAUGGGAUGUCUAGAUGUAGUAGACACAGCACCCCAGAUGUGGUCAGAGCAGGAGACAACAGAACAUUCACCUCUCCCAUUCUGGACCCUUGGCUUCUCCUCCACUCUAAUUCACAGAAUUUUAGAGUUGGAAGGUCCAUAGAAACCACUCUGUAAUCCACUCUGUGUAAUCCACUCUGUGCAAUCCACUCUGUAAUCCACUCUGUGUAAUCCACUCUGUAGCUUACUGGGAAUCCCCUCAACAAUAUCAAUGCAAUUCAACAAGCAUUUAUUGAGUGCCUACCGAGUACCAGGCACUGUGUUAGGCUGGGAAUACAAAGACAGAAGUCAAAUAGUCUUUGUCUUCUGGGAGCUGACAUUCUAUCACGGAGACAACAUAUACAUAUUUAAAUAUAUGCAAAGUAAUAGGGGGCAGAAAAGGCAAUAGCAGCUGGGAGGGGUCAGGGUGAACAUGGAUCACUUAAGUUCAAAUACCUAGUGUCUGAGUGGGGAUUUGAACCCAGAUCUUGCUGACUUUUGGUCCAGUUCUCUAGUUGACUCUUGUUUCGAGGUCCCAAUCUGUCUCUGACUUCCUGAGGUCUCUUCCAACCUGAGGAAUUGGCUUCUGGCUUUGUAUGAGUUUGACACGUGUGUGUGUGUGUGUGUGUGUGUGUGUGUUAGUUAACCAAAACAGCUGCAUCAUUGUUUUCUCUUUUGUGGCUUCCCUGGGACGAUUCCAGUGACCUACCCUGCCUCCUGGGCAGGGCAAAAGAUGACCAGCUGACUGACUGGCUGAAGUUAGGCAUGGAAGGAAUUUGGAACAUCUCUGAGCCUGAUGGGAGGGUGUGUGCAGGGAUAUGGGGCAGAAACCAGAAGCAGUAGAAUUGGACUCUGAAACUCUCCUUCCCCUCCUCCCACCCCUCUUUAUCCACAGGAUCCCAGGCUCAGUCUGGACACACCCCAGAGAGCUUUGUUCAGACCUGACUCUGUUUGUUGAGAAUCUCACCCCUGCUCUGGUCAGGAUGCCUUCCCAGGACCUCAAAGCAUCCUCCAUUUCCAAGCAAAAACAAGUCUCCGAACCGAAGUCAGACCACGGUUCUAGCCCUUGUCACCUCUGUCCUGCACUAUGUGCAAUAAAUAGCCUCCCUGCCUCUGGUCUCUCUGCUCU
Molecule: long non-coding RNA, 2169 nt
Filed under: Phascolarctos cinereus (koala)
Lineage: Eukaryota; Metazoa; Chordata; Mammalia; Diprotodontia; Phascolarctidae
Description: lncRNA (ENSPCIG00000026988.2)
Source: RNAcentral